RNAcentral lists this ribosomal RNA (336 nucleotides) under Clostridioides difficile. Its description in RNAcentral is "bacterial SSU rRNA". It matches the Rfam family "Bacterial small subunit ribosomal RNA", at positions 480 to 816 of the family's 1533-position model. Lineage: Bacteria; Bacillati; Bacillota; Clostridia; Peptostreptococcales; Peptostreptococcaceae. The record is from RNAcentral.
UGAGGAGGAAGCCCCGGCUAACUACGUGCCAGCAGCCGCGGUAAUACGUAGGGGGCUAGCGUUAUCCGGAUUUACUGGGCGUAAAGGGUGCGUAGGCGGUCUUUCAAGUCAGGAGUGAAAGGCUACGGCUCAACCGUAGUAAGCUCUUGAAACUGGGAGACUUGAGUGCAGGAGAGGAGAGUGGAAUUCCUAGUGUAGCGGUGAAAUGCGUAGAUAUUAGGAGGAACACCAGUUGCGAAGGCGGCUCUCUGGACUGUAACUGACGCUGAGGCACGAAAGCGUGGGGAGCAAACAGGAUUAGAUACCCUGGUAGUCCACGCUGUAAACGAUGAGUAC